GGUAGGGUUCNGAGGGAAGGCCCCCCACACUGGGACUGAGACACGGCCCAGACUCCUACGGAAGGCAGCAG
Molecule: ribosomal RNA, 71 nt
Filed under: uncultured bacterium
Lineage: Bacteria
Description: partial 16S ribosomal RNA
Source: RNAcentral